GAUGAACGCUGGCGGCGUGCCUAAUACAUGCAAGUCGAGCGAACGGACGAGAAGCUUGCUUCUCUGAUGUUAGCGGCGGACGGGUGAGUAACACGUGGAUAACCUACCUAUAAGGCUGGGAUAACUUCGGGAAACCGGAGCUAAUACCGGAUAAUAUUUUGAACCGCAUGGUUCAAAAGUGAAAGACGGUCUUGCUGUCACUUAUAGAUGGAUCCGCGCUGCAUUAGCUAGUUGGUAAGGUAACGGCUUACCAAGGCAACGAUGCAUAGCCGACCUGAGAGGGUGAUCGGCCACACUGGAACUGAGACACGGUCCAGACUCCUACGGGAGGCAGCAGUAGGGAAUCUUCCGCAAUGGGCGAAAGCCUGACGGAGCAACGCCGCGUGAGUGAUGAAGGUCUUCGGAUCGUAAAACUCUGUUAUUAGGGAAGAACAUAUGUGUAAGUAACUGUGCACAACUUGACGGUACCUAAUCAGAAAGCCACGGCUAACUACGUG
This 497-nucleotide ribosomal RNA is filed under the name uncultured bacterium. Its description in RNAcentral is "partial 16S ribosomal RNA". It matches the Rfam family "Bacterial small subunit ribosomal RNA", at positions 28 to 507 of the family's 1533-position model. The record is from RNAcentral.